RNAcentral lists this ribosomal RNA (859 nucleotides) under uncultured bacterium. RNAcentral's name for it is "bacterial SSU rRNA". It matches the Rfam family "Bacterial small subunit ribosomal RNA", at positions 40 to 896 of the family's 1533-position model. The record is from RNAcentral.
CGGCAGGCUUAACACAUGCAAGUCGAGGGGCAGCAUGUCCAGCAAUGGAUGAUGGCGACCGGCGUACGGGUGCGCAACGCGUGAGCAACCUACCCAUAACAGUGGGAUAACCCGGARAAAUUCGGACUAAUAUCACAUAAUAUUAUUAKAAGGCAUCUUUUGAUAAUUAAAGCUUUGGUGGUUAUGGAUGGGCUCGCGUGACAUUAKCUUGAUGGUAAGGUAACGGCUUACCAUGGCUAUGAUGUCUAGGGGUUCUGAGAGGAAGGCCCCCCACACUGGGACUGAGACACGGCCCAGACUCCUACGGGAGGCAGCAGUGAGGAAUAUUGGACAAUGGUCGAAAGACUGAUCCAGCCAUGCCGCGUGCAGGAAGACGAUCCUAUGGAUUGUAAACUGCUUUUAUGAGGGAGCAAUAAGGGCUACKUGUAGUCCGAUGAGAGUACCUCAUGAAUAAGCAUCGGCUAACUCCGUGCCAGCAGCCGCGGUAAUACGGGGGAUGCAAGCGUUAUCCGGAUUUAUUGGGUUUAAAGGGUGCGUAGGCGGCUUGAUAAGUCAGCGGUGAAAUUUUGCAGCUCAACUGUAAACGUGCCGUUGAUACUGUCUGGCUGGAAAGUAGUUGAAGUGAGUGGAAUSUGUGGUGUAGCGGUGAAAUGCUUAGAUAUCACACAGAAUAUCAAUUGCGUAGGCAGCUCACUAAGCUAUAUUUGACGCUGAGGCACGAAAGUGUGGGGAUCAAACAGGAUUAGAUACCCUGGUAGUCCACACUGUAAACGAUGAUCACUCGUUGUCGGCAAUAUACCGCCGGUGACCAAGCGAAAGCGAUAAGUGAUCCACCUGGCGAGUACGACCGCAAUGKACC